CAGACUGAGGGUCAGGGGAGAGGGGGGCAUACGGAUAUGGCACAGAGGGGGAGCAAUGACAGGGGAUGUUGUAGAACUCUCGUCGGAGAGAGGAGGAGAACUUCUUCAAAGUAGACACACCUUGAGGAGAUGUCGCAGUGGAGCGGAAGAAAUGUGUGGGAAGGAACUGCAGAUGCUGGAGAAUGGAGGGUUA
Molecule: long non-coding RNA, 193 nt
Organism: Amblyraja radiata (thorny skate)
Lineage: Eukaryota; Metazoa; Chordata; Chondrichthyes; Rajiformes; Rajidae
Exons: 3
Source: RefSeq, a predicted model, not a curated record